ACUACCAAAUAAUGUUUUGUGGAAAAUAGAUUUGUGUGAUGCUCACGCCAUCUAAAAUAUGUAUCACCACCUAUUUUCCUGAAGACAUGAAUGUAGUCAGUCAGAGCAACCAGCCCACCUCUUUACAUAGGGAGCAGCCUUCCUGCUGCACACUCUAAUUACGAACAUUCAGCCAGACACACCAUGAUGAGCUUCACUUUAGUCGCCUCCAUUCUAUACAGCCUCAGCUGGAUCUCUGUCUCGCUUUCUGAGUAUCAGACUGUGGAGGCUCAGCCUGGUGAAGAAGUCACACUGAGGAUUACCAAAGGGAACAUGUAUGGAACUGUGAUAUUCUGGUUCAGGCUGGUCAAUAGAACCAACACCAGCUGUAUCUCUAUCAUGUUCAGUUCGCAACCUAACAUCUGUGAUGGAUAUGACAGCAGAAAAUUUGAAAUGAGCUCCAACAUCUCCACUGUCUCUCUCAAAAUCAAACAUGUGGAUUCAUCUGACUCUGGACUGUAUUUAUGUGGAUUUUACAAUACUGGAAAACCACUUUUCAGUGUGAUACGAUUAAAUGUAAAAGGUAAAGUAAUUCUAAUGUCUUUUCAUUGUUCUUUUAUGUUUAUACUGUAUUUUCAUGAUUAUUUUCCAACAACGCAUGAACAAAGCGGCCGUUUAAACAGCGAAUCUGUGAAAACAAAAGAUUUAAUUAUCUUCACUCCGAAGGUAGUGACGAGCCACAUGAUGACGUCAACAACAAGUGUACAAGUGAGAUUUUCAGAUUUAUUUUCAGUUCAGUUCAUUUUCAUUGAAUUUUGCAAGGUGUCAAGUCUCCAAAUAAAAAACAAAGUUUGACUUCAUGAUCUUUCUUGUAGUUGAGUCUAACGGAGUUGCAAAGAUGACGAGUGUGAUCCUGGGUGGUCUGACUGUUUGCCUUCUAAUGGUCAUUAUCGUUCUCAUUGUUCAAAACAGGAAACUGCAGACAGCUGAUAAAGAAGAUCACAAUCCACAGCAAAGUGAGAACGUGAGCUGUGAUGAGCUGAACUACGCAGCAGUGACAUUUCGACCAAAAGCAAAAAGGAGAGCGCCUGAGCCAAAUGUUGUUUAUGCUGCCACCAGAUAGACUCAGGAGGCAACUGGAAAUGAUGCUGUGUCAUGUUAAUAUGCUUUGAUUGUGACAGCAAGAACCACUGAUACCAACACAUUUCAUUUUGCAAUAAAGAUCUGAUGUUCAUACAUGUCAAGUCACGUCAAGAGGUUUUAUUGUCAUUUCAGCUGUUUGCUGUAACAGUGAAGAGUGAAACGAGA
Scatophagus argus is the source of this 1287-nucleotide long non-coding RNA. RefSeq lists it as uncharacterized. The record is from RefSeq and is a predicted model, not a curated record. The transcript has 4 exons. NCBI's taxonomy places the organism in Eukaryota, Metazoa, Chordata, Actinopteri, Scatophagidae.